This 500-nucleotide ribosomal RNA is filed under the name uncultured dictyochophyte. RNAcentral's name for it is "SSU rRNA". It matches the Rfam family "Eukaryotic small subunit ribosomal RNA", at positions 1273 to 1800 of the family's 1831-position model. The record is from RNAcentral. Lineage: Eukaryota; Dictyochophyceae.
GUGGUGGUGCAUGGCCGUUCUUAGUUGGUGGAGUGAUUUGUCUGGUUAAUUCCGUUAACGAACGAGACCCCCGCCUGCUAAAUAGCACGAGGAAUGCUUCGCAUUGCUUGAUUGCUUCUUAGAGGGACUUUGUGUGACUAACACAAGGAAGUUGGGGGCAAUAACAGGUCUGUGAUGCCCUUAGAUGUCCUGGGCCGCACGCGCGCUACACUGAUGCAUGCAACGAGUUUAUAACCUUGGCCGGGAGGCCUGGGUAAUCUGUGAACGUGCAUCGUGAUAGGGAUAGAUUAUUGCAAUUAUUAAUCUUGAACGAGGAAUUCCUAGUAAACGCAAGUCAUCAGCUUGCAUUGAUUACGUCCCUGCCCUUUGUACACACCGCCCGUCGCACCUACUGAUCGAAGGUCAUGAUGAGCCCUCAGGAUAGGGAGUUGUUCCCUCACGGGAGCUUUUUUCUAGAAUUUGUGCAAAUCUUGCCUUAGAGGAAGGUAAGUCAACCUGGG